GGUUUGACGGUACCUUUAAAGGAAGCACCGGCUAACUCCGUGCCAGCAGCCGCGGUAAUACGGGGGGUGCAAGCGUUGUCCGGAAUUAUUGGGCGUAAAGCGCGUGUAGGCGGUCUGAUUAGUCUGAUGUGAAAGCCCUGGGCUCAACCCAGGAAGUGCAUUGGAUACUGUCAGACUUGAAUACGGGAGAGGGUAGUGGAAUUCCUAGUGUAGGAGUGAAAUCCGUAGAUAUUAGGAGGAACACCGGUGGCGAAGGCGGCUACCUGGACCGAUAYUGACGCUGAGACGCGAAAGCGUGGGUAGCAAACAGGAUUAGAUACCCUGGUAGUCCACGCCGUAAACGAUGAGAACUAGGUGUCGCGGGUA
RNAcentral lists this ribosomal RNA (366 nucleotides) under uncultured Geobacteraceae bacterium. Its description in RNAcentral is "bacterial SSU rRNA". It matches the Rfam family "Bacterial small subunit ribosomal RNA", at positions 466 to 831 of the family's 1533-position model. The record is from RNAcentral. Lineage: Bacteria; Pseudomonadati; Thermodesulfobacteriota; Desulfuromonadia; Geobacterales; Geobacteraceae.